CAGCCGUAAACAAUGUGCGUUAGGUGUGUCGGUAACCACGCGUUACUGAUGCGCCGAAGAGAAAUCGUGAAACGCACCACCUGGGAAGUACGGUCGCAAGGCUGAAACUUAGAGGAAUUGGCGGGGGAGCACCACAACGGGUGGAGCCUGCGGUUUAAUUGGACUCAACGCCGGAAAUCUCACCGGAUAGGACAGACAUAUGAUAGUCGGGCUGAAGACUCUACUUGAUGAUCUGAGAGGAGGUGCAUGGCGUCAGUGACU
This 261-nucleotide ribosomal RNA is filed under the name uncultured archaeon. RNAcentral's name for it is "partial 16S ribosomal RNA". It matches the Rfam family "Archaeal small subunit ribosomal RNA", at positions 748 to 1008 of the family's 1478-position model. The record is from RNAcentral.